CAAUUCUAGAAGCAGCCCAGCCUGUCAUCCUUUGCGGGGACGGCCCAGCAGACCAAUGCAGAGUGUGAGAGCUUUACUGGGGGCAACAUGUGUGAGGAGUACGAGGCAAAAGCAGAGCUGCAGCCCAGCAUCUCUGUCCCCAUGUGGUCCUUCUUUAUUGUCUGCGGCACAUGUGAGCCCAGCCCCGCUGCCUGCCUUCUCUCAGUUUCUGGGGCAUCCACCAACCGGAGUAGACCCUGCGUGCUGGCCGUCCUCUGCGGGGGUGUCACAUGGCCAGACCACCAGGCAUGGGGGCUCGUCUAGGGCAGAUCUGCACAAGUCUAGAGUGAGGCUAAUGAGUGACCUUUCCUGAUUCUAGUCCUGAGGCCCUGAAAUUGGACUUUACAAAUAUUUAUCGCUUCCAGAAUUGUUUCUCCAGAAUAGCCUCAUGUUCUAUUCACUUUUAUUGUAUAAUAAACUACCCUGAAACACA
Canis lupus familiaris (dog) is the source of this 472-nucleotide long non-coding RNA. RefSeq lists it as uncharacterized. The transcript is spliced from 2 exons. The record is from RefSeq and is a predicted model, not a curated record. Lineage: Eukaryota; Metazoa; Chordata; Mammalia; Carnivora; Canidae.